RNAcentral lists this ribosomal RNA (246 nucleotides) under uncultured Eubacteriales bacterium. RNAcentral describes it as "uncultured Clostridiales bacterium partial 16S ribosomal RNA". It matches the Rfam family "Bacterial small subunit ribosomal RNA", at positions 796 to 1041 of the family's 1533-position model. Lineage: Bacteria; Bacillati; Bacillota; Clostridia; Eubacteriales. The record is from RNAcentral.
CUAGCCGUAAACGAUGGGUACUAGGUGUAGGAGGUUUCGAUACCUUCUGUGCCGCAGUUAACGCAAUAAGUACCCCGCCUGGGGAGUACGUGCGCAAGCAUGAAACUCAAAGGAAUUGACGGGGGCCCGCACAAGCGGUGGAGCAUGUGGUUUAAUUCGAAGCAACGCGAAGAACCUUACCAGGUCUUGACAUCACCUAGCAAGCCAUGGAAACAUGGCCCUCCUUCGGGACUGGGUGACAGGUGG